This is a long non-coding RNA of Zonotrichia leucophrys gambelii, 2477 nucleotides long. RefSeq lists it as uncharacterized. NCBI's taxonomy places the organism in Eukaryota, Metazoa, Chordata, Aves, Passeriformes, Passerellidae. The record is from RefSeq and is a predicted model, not a curated record. The transcript is spliced from 3 exons.
AGCUUGCUGGCCGGAUGGGACGGCAGCCGACACUCAGCCAUGGGUGGCUCGGGUAUGGAAUUCAUUAAAUUGGAAAUCAAGGGCAGGAAGGUCUCGACACAAGUGAUCCAGAAAAGGAGGAACUGCUGAGGUCAAUGUCAGUGCAAGAAAGGGAUGAGUCAUUCCUUAGCUGCAGGUCUGCAUGGAAGAGGAAGAAGUGAUUUCCCAGCCAAGGCAGCACAGACAACAGAAGCAGUGAAGAAGCAGAGCUGUGAGCUUCAGCUGCACAGGACUGCUGAGCCAGAAUACUCUAACUCAACAAGCUACCAACUUCAACUGCCUCUCAGGAAGGCUGAAAACCCCUUAAAAAAUCUUGACAACAAGCACCACGGCCUCACACCUACUGGAAAUCAACAAGGCAGAGGAAAAGGAGCCACUACAUUUGCAAGAAAUUUUAUCCAGGAAUACAAAGGCAGUGCAAAGAAACCUGCCAAGCCAGCCAGCCAGUAUGUUUCAGAAUCAGAAGGGUGACACAGCAGACAAGUCACACCAAGCAGCCAGGACCACCACGGGGAUCUGCAAGUGAAAUAGCACAUAGCUGACAACUCUUCCCCACAACAUGCUCUCACUCCUUCCUGGGAAUGACUGAUUGGUCACUUGACGGGAUCUGCAGAAAUCCCACCAGAACGUAAAAAACUUGUUUCAAAACCAAUUCCAGCUUUAAGGAAGGGACAUAAUAGUGUGGCUUGGAUACUAUAAUAAAACUGGAGAACUCAGAUUUACCAGUCUCUAUUCAGGAAGAGUCAAGAACUUUGCAAGACACAGAUCAAAUGAGCUCUGACCCCACUGGACAUGUGUGAUCUUGAGUAUUAGAUCCAUCAAUAACACAGAGUGAUGCUGCUAGGCAGCUUUUUAAAAUUAGUCAUACAUGCCCAGAAUAUAGGAAGUCAACAACCAAAAUUCAGAAAAAAGGGACAGAGAAGGCCACACUGGGUCAGAGGAUUUGGCACUGGAAGGAUUCCUCUGAGACUGGAUUUUCAAAGUAUGCAAAGUAUGCAAAGUAUGUUGGAGUGCAAAUACAUCUCCCAUUUAAGUGACCUGUGAGUGCCUAAGAGUUUGGAGAGAUGUUCUCCUCUGCACUGCAUCUGCCUACUGAACUUUAAAAUAACACCUCCCUCUGCCUGCUGAGCCAGCCCCCUCCCCACAACACUCCAGUAACUUCACUAAGCAUGUCCCCCCUCCUCUGGGUGCCCAGAACAUUCUCCUGGAACUGACAGGGAAUUCUGUCUGAUGCUCUUCCUCAUUAAAGUUCUCACUCCCUUUAAUUUGGCAAGUCUAAGGCAUUAUGUAAAGGGACUCCAAACGUGGAAAAACUAAAAAAAUUAUUAAAUUAUCCGGAUCAUGCCUUUGCUGCUUGAGAAUAAGGAUUUUUUUCUUCCAUGAGAAUUACUUUACUUCUUUGCUUGGCUGAUACCUGCAUGAAGGAGCUAUCAGGAACAUUUGUUGAGAAAAUUAGCAACUGUGUCUCAAGAAUGCACUGAAAUUAUUGACUCUUGCAAAGAUGAUUUUCUAAAAGCUGGUUAUUUAGGCCAUGUGCAGCCUGCACGAACAAUCUUCUCUGGCAGGAAAUGCAAGAAUUUUUCUAUAUCAGGUUCUCAUCUGCUUCUCAGAAAUUUCCCAAUCAGUACUUAAGAACAAGGUAAUUUUUUAAUCAAAAGCCUAUUCGGUGAGCUGUCUGCCCCCAGGUCCAUCUCAUUCAUCUCUCUGGACAUGGAUUUCAGUUUUCUUCUCCAAAGAGGUUAACAGAUUGCUGUAAUUGGAUGGCCCCAAGAAAAAUGCUUUGAGCAGCAGAGCAGCCAGAAAUCAAACCCAGCCCAUGCUCUGAGCAAUGAAAGACUUUUCACUUAUUAAAUAUUGCUAACAAUGUGUUUCAAGUACUCCAGGAAACAGCAUGAUCUAAAAAUUAAUUUACUUGUAUACUGCUAUGAAAGGGUCGUCCUUGGCAUGCAGGUUAAAGCUGUCUAUAUCCCACUAGCAAUAAGCAAUAGAAAAAUAUUACUCUGACUAGUGGUUGCAUCUUUUAAACAUAUAUAAACUGCUAAAAUUCUGUAAUUAACCUGCCUCUUAUUACCUUACUGGCAACUACUACUGCCACAGAAGCACAGUUCCUAAUGUCAGCUGCUCUAUUUGCAAACAUAUCUUCUCAAUUAUUUUCUAAAAUUAUUUUCUGAAAAUGCACAAAUAAGAAAAGAUGUCUUGUCUGACCUCUAACCUUGUGAAAUCUGUCCUGUAUUUGUCAUCAUUAAAAAAGCACACCUGGUUCUGCAUUCUUCCUGUGUUUUCAUUUGCAGUGUUUGUUUUAGGAGUUUUAACAAGGUUAGAAGGUGUAAUUACUGUAAUUACAAAAAAGCAAAAAACCAAACCAAUUUUCAACUAAUUAUGCACAGAGAGUUAAAACAGAUGUCUGAACAACAUGCAAGGCUGUAUGAAGCAUCACA